This 1283-nucleotide long non-coding RNA is filed under the name Mus musculus (house mouse). Its description in RNAcentral is "long non-coding RNA chr5:142693751-142695034". Lineage: Eukaryota; Metazoa; Chordata; Mammalia; Rodentia; Muridae. The record is from RNAcentral.
UUUGGGGGUGGGGAAGGGUGUACAUCUGCCCUGCUGCAGCGUGAGUUGGACAAGCUCCUCCAAGAUGCUGGGCUGUCCUCUGUGAUAACUCCCUCCCAACAGCAAAAUGCAGAUCGCAGCAGAGGAUGCUCUCCCCACCCCCACACCCACCCCGUGAGCCUGGCAGUGUGCCCAGGCAGCCUGCCCCUGCGCUCCCAGGACAGUCCCUACCUCUGUGGCUCCCUUCCUUCUUUCUUUCCUUCCUUCUUCCCUUUCUUGGCUUUUAUUUUAAAAUGUUUUCUUCCCGUUUCUUUGUUUUAUUUUUAUUUCUUGUUUUUUUUUUUUUUUUUUUUUUUUUUUUUUUUUUUUGCCCUUUUUGAGACAAGGAUAGCCAAGAACUCACUGUAUAGACCAGUUGUCCUUAAAUUCCUGAUCCUCUUGCCUGUACCUUGCCAACUGCUGACAUUACAAGCGUAUGUCACCACACCCUGAUAAAAGCAUGAACAGCGCUGUGGGCUGGAAUAGUGUUCUCACAACCUAGGACCCAAGUGCUUCAGAAAUCGUUUGAAUGGAUUGCAUGGGACAACUCAUUUAAUUUCUUUUGUUUUGUUUUUUUUUUUUUAAUUUUAGAUGCAUGUGUGUUUUGACUGCAUGCAUGUUUGUGCACCAUACCUGUAGAUGCCUGGGAAUGAGGUUACAGCUGGUUGUAAGCUACCUACCAUGUGGGUGCUGGGAAUUGAACUUGGGUCCCCGGGAAGAGUAGCCAGUGUUCUUAACCACUGUGCUAUCACUUUGAGCCGGAAAAACGAAUUCUUCCCCCACACCACAGCCCCCCGGGCUGGGGCCUGAACCCGGAGCUUUAUAUAACCUAGGCAAGCGUUCUGCCUUUAUUAUUUUCACAGUGCUGGGGACUGAACCCACAGCCUCUUACACACUCAGCAAGUCUCUUACACGCUAAGCCAGUGCUCUCUGCCUUUGAACUGUACCCUGGGGAUUCUAGGCAGGCGGUUUACUGCUGAGCUACUCUGAAGCUUUGGUUUCUUCUCUGUGCUCUCCCUACCCAGACGCCUUAGGACUCUGUCCAUGGUGCUGGAGUUCCGGCCGGGCCGCACAGGAGUUGCUCCUCAGGUCCCAGGCAGCAGCUCAGGCAGGUCAGUCCCUCCGCAAAUCCGCAGGGGACACUUCUCCCCGAGGCCAGGUUUUGAUCCCUCUGAUUUGGUGUACCCAAAGGGAGCCCAGACGCUCCAAGUUCUGGGUUGCUAUGAGGAUACAUGUGGCUAAUUGUUUCAGGGAUGUGUCACUGU